CCGGCACGGGUGAGUAACACGUAUCCAACCUGCCGUCUACUCUUGGACAGCCUUCUGAAAGGAAGAUUAAUACAAGAUGGCAUCAUGAGUUCACAUGUUCACAUGAUUAAAGGUAUUCCGGUAGACGAUGGGGAUGCGUUCCAUUAGAUAGUAGGCGGGGUAACGGCCCACCUAGUCUUCGAUGGAUAGGGGUUCUGAGAGGAAGGUCCCCCACACUGGUACUGAGACACGGACCAA
RNAcentral lists this ribosomal RNA (237 nucleotides) under uncultured bacterium. RNAcentral describes it as "partial 16S ribosomal RNA". It matches the Rfam family "Bacterial small subunit ribosomal RNA", at positions 100 to 334 of the family's 1533-position model. The record is from RNAcentral.